RNA transcript from Setaria italica (foxtail millet), 1110 nucleotides. It is a transcript of the gene named E3 ubiquitin-protein ligase RNF170, with no coding region annotated. The transcript has 5 exons. The record is from RefSeq and is a predicted model, not a curated record. Lineage: Eukaryota; Viridiplantae; Streptophyta; Magnoliopsida; Poales; Poaceae.
CGUCUUCGUCGCCUCGUAUCGAACGAACGAGAGAGAAUACCCCUCCGAGUCGGCCAGUCGCCGACGACUUCACGCGGGCAGCGCAGCCGCGUCCCCGACUUCCUUCCCUUGGGACACAGAGAAGGGGGAAGUGAUGAGCUCCUCCUCGUCGGCGUCGGCCGCGCCGCCGGAGGACGACGUCUGCUCCGUCUGCCACGACCGCUUCCGGAUCCCGUGCCAGGCAAACUGCUCCCAUUGGUUCUGCGGAGAGUGCAUCAUCCGUGUUUGGCAUCAUGGACCUGCUGUACAGGCUUGCAAGUGUCCCAUUUGUCGCCGCCUUAUAAAUCUACUGGUACCUGCUCCUUUAUCAGACCAGGAGGAUGAUCCACAAGUUGGCCGUAUUUUGGGAGAGAUUCAGCACUAUAACUGUAUAUUUGGUGGAGCACCACGCAGCCUGACUCAGAGGUUGCAAGACCUACCCUUCUUCAUCCGAAGACUGUUUAGAGAACUAUUGGAUCCCCAGCGGACUCUCCCACUUGUGUUCAGGGCACGGAUGAUGAUGAUGGCUGUGCUGUUUCUGUCCGCAGUUUCAUACCAUCGCCCAAUGCAAUGGAUGUGAGAGACGAGACCGUAUGUAAAUCUGAUAUUCUGACUGAUUUGAACUUGUAGGUUGCAUUGAGUGCAAUUUAUGUGCUGAGCCCUGUCGACAUUCUCCCUGAAAGUGUGCUGGGGCUCUUUGGAUUCGUUGAUGACCUGCUGAUUCUGGUGAUCGUGUUCCUCCACCUCGCCGCCGUCUACCGGUCGUUGCUCCUGUACCGCCAUGGGGGGCAGUAGAAGGCGCUGUGCAUAGUCAUUUGCUUAACUGGGUUCCAUGCGGAGUUUUCGAGGUGGCAGCUUUGGAAGAGUGCUGAGUAGAUGAGGAGGAUAUGAAGGACGGCUGGCUCGUGCUUGUUUUGUAGUAUUCUGCUACGCCUGUUUCCUUAGAUUCUGGAGGGUGGACUUGUGUUGAUGGGAGUGGAUCUCUGUUGUAUUCAGCUUGCCGGAUCUGCACAGUUCAUGGAUAUGACAAUUUGUUUCUCUUGUCAAUCUUGAUUUGGCUCACAUAUUGCUGAUGCCUACAUAUUCUGGAAA